GUGGGGAAUAUUGGACAAUGGGCGAAAGUCUGAUCCAGCCAUGCCGCGUGUGUGAAGAAGGUCUUCGGAUUGUAAAGCACUUUAAGUUGGGAGGAAGGGCAGUAAGUUAAUACCUUGCUGUUUUGACGUUACCAACAGAAUAAGCACCGGCUAACUUCGUGCCAGCAGCCGCGGUAAUACGAAGGGUGCAAGCGUUAAUCGGAAUUACUGGGCGUAAAGCUCGCGUAGGUGGUUUUGUAAGUUGGAGGUGAAAUCCCCGGGCUCAACCUGGGAACUGCCUACAAAACUGCAUGACUAGAGUACGGUAGAGGGUAGUGGAAUUUCCUGUGUAGCGGUGAAAUGCGUAGAUAUAGGAAGGAACACCAGUGGCGAAGGCGGCCAUCUGGACCAGCACUGACACUGAGGCACGAAAGCGUGGGGAGCAAACAGGAUUAGAAACCCGGGUAGUCC
Molecule: ribosomal RNA, 450 nt
Filed under: uncultured bacterium
Lineage: Bacteria
Description: partial 16S ribosomal RNA
Rfam family: Bacterial small subunit ribosomal RNA
Source: RNAcentral